AACGCAUAUUGCACUCUCUGGUAAUCCGGAGAGUAUGCCUGUUUGAGGGUCAGUAAAUAAUAAUUAUCAUGAAUCUUUGAUUUAUGGAAUUGGGCUUUUAUUUCGAUAGAUCUAUGGCCUUAAAUUUACGUUAUGGGCUUGUCAUAUAAAAUCCAAUCUAAAGGAGCAAUUAAACAUUCUCUCAUUAGUGGAUUUUUACAAGCCAUUACGAUUUUUGGUUGCUUUUCAGCACUUUUGCGAGUGCGAAACCAAGAUUGUAAGCUUACUCUAACAAUGACCUCAAAUCAGGCAAGAAUACCCGCUGAACUUAA
RNAcentral lists this unclassified non-coding RNA (311 nucleotides) under uncultured Entrophospora. Its description in RNAcentral is "uncultured Claroideoglomus sequence contains ITS2". The stretch from base 1 to 52 matches the Rfam family "5.8S ribosomal RNA", at positions 103 to 154 of the family's 154-position model. Lineage: Eukaryota; Fungi; Glomeromycota; Glomeromycetes; Entrophosporales; Entrophosporaceae. The record is from RNAcentral.